UGCGUAGGCGGCUGCGCGCGUGGAGGGUGAAAUCUCUCGGCUUACCCGGGAGGGGGCUUUCCAGACGGCGUGGCUUGAGGGACGGAGAGGGGCGUGGAAUUCCGGGUGGAGCGGUGAAAUGCGUAGAGAUCCGGAGGAACACCGACGGCGUAGGCAGCGCCCUGGCCGUUUCCUGACGCUGAAGCACGAAAGCUGGGGGAGGCAAAACA
Molecule: ribosomal RNA, 209 nt
Filed under: uncultured bacterium
Lineage: Bacteria
Description: partial 16S ribosomal RNA
Rfam family: Bacterial small subunit ribosomal RNA
Source: RNAcentral